GAUAUCUUGGCUCUCGCAUCGAUGAAGAACGUAGCGAAAUGCGAUACUUGGUGUGAAUUGCAGAAUCCCGUGAACCAUCGAGUCUUUGAACGCAAGUUGCGCCCGAGGCUAUUUGGCCGAGGGCAC
Molecule: ribosomal RNA, 126 nt
Filed under: Asparagus officinalis (garden asparagus)
Lineage: Eukaryota; Viridiplantae; Streptophyta; Magnoliopsida; Asparagales; Asparagaceae
Description: 5.8S ribosomal RNA
Rfam family: 5.8S ribosomal RNA
About the family: 5.8S ribosomal RNA (5.8S rRNA) is a component of the large subunit of the eukaryotic ribosome.
Source: RNAcentral